UCGGAAUUAUGAUAUAUGGAACAGAGUAGAUGAGCUUUCGUUUGAUAUGCGACAACACCAUGUUCUUGAAAGUUUGAUUUUUGCACUUAAUAACCCUAUCCAACAAAUUUUUGGAGGUCGGGAAUUUGAUACUUCAAAUGUACACAUCAUGACCUUUCAUUUGAUAUACAACAACCCUACCUUAAACGAACAUUUAUUUUUUUGCACUCAAUGACCCCAUCCAAC
Molecule: long non-coding RNA, 225 nt
Filed under: Mytilus galloprovincialis (Mediterranean mussel)
Lineage: Eukaryota; Metazoa; Mollusca; Bivalvia; Mytilida; Mytilidae
Source: RNAcentral